UAUUUCUAAUUCUAGUUAGGCAAACUUCAGUGUACCUAUCAAAGGCAGUUUUUUUAAAAAAAGAAAAAAACCCAUGAAGGCUCUAUACAGUUUCAGAGGUUUUAAAAAUAGUGAAUUAAAAUGUAUAAUUAAAGAAAAUAGGAAUGAAAAAGACCAGUUUUGGUUAUCCAGGCAACCUCCUCCCCUGGGCCUUUCAGGUACAGGUUUUAAUGCAUAGCAAAGUAUCAUUUUCUUUUUAUGGUAGUUUCUGAAAUUUUGGAUUCAGCAGUAGACCUUCCCUUUCAGCCAAAAUAGCAAACACUUAGGGGAAUAAGAAAAAGAAGCUUAUGUUUUCACAAUGCAAUUUUGUAUCGAGUUAUUUGGGGAAAAUAAAUAGAUAAAGUGAACUGUGAAAGAUCAUAUUUUAGAGGCAGCUCCAUGGUGCGGACACUAGUUAUUAUUUAUAUAGUUUCUCAGGGAGCAUAUUAACAUUUUUAUAGCCCAUGAAAUACCUCUAUACGGAGGGAGUUGUUGGUGUCAGAAGAGCAGGGAGAGCUGGGAGGAUGGAGAAGUAGGCCAGUAAAAGCCACUGCUUCCUUCAUGGAAACUAUUCAAUUAAUAAUAGUCAAAACUUUGAGUCAUCCUGCACUGCAUUAAGUGGGUAAACUUUGAGUCACUUCACUCUGUUUUAAAUGGAAAAUCUUUUACCUUCCUUAAUUUGUUUUACCAUAGCCAAGUGUCCUUCACUUUGUCCUUAGAGGGUCACUCUCAAUUUCUUCAUUCAAGAUGAAUUAAUUUUUAGUUCAGCCUCAGUUGUUUGUAAUCUUUUUCUCCAGAUCUUGAGAACAAUGUUUCCUUCCCUACCCAUUUUGUCUCAUGCACUUUGGGAAAGUUUCCUUUGCUCUCUUUCUAGCAUGUGUUAAUUUUUUCUCUGUAGUGACAUUGUUUAUUUCCAAUUAAUUGGAUUCAGUCUUCAGACUGAAGCUGAUGAACAAUGCUUAACAUCCAGAGGAUGGAAAUAUUAUUGGCUAAAUUCAAUUCUGCCCCAACUUGUGCUCAUCCAGUUUGAUCCCUGGUGCAGCUUUCUUAGCUACAUUGACUUAUGUCCCCUGAUACUAUAGCCCCAUUGAUCAUGGCAGCACUUAGGACUUGCUGGGAUACAGGACUGCCCCUCCAGUGCUGAUCCCCCAUUAAAAUACCCUGAAGCUCUCUGAGUUAGGGACACGAAAUGAUCAGAGAUGACUCUUUGCUGUGUUUUGCUAGUGUUGUUCCACUGGUCGGAAGGAGGAGGCAUGGUCCUUCACUGCUGUCCCUAUCUGUCAUCAAUAAUGGUGCAAAGGCUUGGGAGAGCCAUGGUCAGUCUGACUGCUCUGUCCUGGAUGCACACCUGGUUCACAUGCUCUGGUAUUCCUUUGAAAAUCUGAAAUAAAAAGGAAGAGCUGUCAGCGGUGCUGCCCUGUCCCACCCUGUGCUACCAGCUGGUCUCUAUGCCAUGGUUUGCUUUGCUCUCACUUCCUACCUAGGAAGUUUCAGAGCUAAAAAUGGUCUCCUAUGAUGAAUGAACACGAUGAAUAAUUACAGCUGAGCUGUUGACACACGUAGAGAUAAGAGUUUGUUGGGAUGUUCAUUAUAAACCGCUUGACUGCAGCUCAACAUAUACAAGGCCGUAACCUGCAGUAAUACUAUUUUAGAUAGAAAGAUUAAUUUAUUUUGCUGUUUCUUAGAGGAGCAGAGAUGAAAAGCAAAUUUCUUCAGUUUGCUCCUGCGAUAUAAGAAGCUUUCUGCUGCAUUCAGUGGGACUUCUCCAUAAAUUUUAAAGCUAAGUCUCAGCUCGUAUGCAAAAUUCCUCCCUUUCCGAUCAGCUUCAUUAGAGAUGCAGACCUUUCAAAGGCAGUGGUUGUGGUGUUGAAGAUCCCCUUGGUAUCAAGGAGGAAGAUGCUGCCCUGGGAAAUAUUUCCGCACAGAAGGCAUGAGGCUCAGCAGGUACCAUACUUUGGGUCCGUGAGAUUGGGACCUGAAGGCUUUUAUUGUGAGUUGACCCCAACUUUAUACCUAGCUCUGCAUCAGUUUUGGGGAUUCCAGUAAUCCUAGUAGGGUUAUAGCACCUACCAAGAGCCUCACCCAGUGGCCAUCUGCCCUCCAGCCCAGGGGACAGGAAGCAGUUCUUUCAGUAGUCCAUAAGCAUCACUCCUUAGGUUGUUGAGAGGAGGGUGUUGGAAAGCAAGGUGGUUUUGGGGACUACUAGCCCAGUUAUGAGCUUGAGUCUCAAAUCUGGUGUUACUGUGCAUACAUAGCGCAGCCUUCGCAUGCAGGCUCAGCCCCAAAGCAGCUCUGUCUGCUGUGUAAAGCUGAUCUAUAACAUGCCAGCUCUUGCUAGGGGAGGGAAGCCCUUUCCAGACGGAGUGUGAGGUGUUUCUCUCCAACAGAGGCUGAUUCUCAGUUAGGUGAGACGGCUGCUCGCUCAGGAGUUGCUGCUUUGCUGACGCCAGCCUUGGCCUGGCAGAGAGCUCUGCUUGCAGCUCCUUGGCUUUCACUGCAGUCCGCGUCAAGCAACACAAGCUGCGGCAGCACCAGCUCCUCCUGGCUCCCAGGCCAAACCGUUGCACGGAUCCAGGGAUUAAUGCAAAAGAUGGAGAGCCAGGAUUCUGGUGUAACCUCUUUGCCUGCAUGGCCGUGACAGGCAUCACAGAGAUGCUCACAUACCAUAGCAAAGUGGUGACACAAACAGCUGUGUUGACAGAGCAAUGGAGAAACAGAUUUCAGGCCAUCCUGGCGCUGCUCUCCUGGAUAUGUGCCAUCAGUCCAGGGGCACUCCAGGGCGGGGAGUGGCUCUCAUAAGAAUACAUCCUUACCACGUGCUCUCAGCAGAUGUUACAUCGGCUUAAAAAAACUCAUAAACUCUGGUGACAUAUAUUUUAUACACUAUAAACUUCUGCUUUUUCCCUU
Molecule: long non-coding RNA, 2925 nt
Organism: Alligator sinensis (Chinese alligator)
Lineage: Eukaryota; Metazoa; Chordata; Crocodylia; Alligatoridae
Exons: 2
Source: RefSeq, a predicted model, not a curated record